CACAUCUCCUACUUGGCAGGCAGAUUCUUUACCACUGAGCCACCUGGGAAACCCUUAGCACUUAAUACUUGAAGUAAAUCCCUGCUGUUGCCAAUUUUGGCUACGUUGUAGCUGCUGCGACCGUCUUUGGACUCUAACAUUGGUGCCUCCCUAAUCAUCUCCUUGACACACACAUCCCUACAAGAGGAUUUGCAGUGAUUUGUAAGCCAAGUAUUGGAGGUCGUUUUUGCAGAUUCUUUUCCAGUUGAGCCACAAGAGAACAAAGUUUUUAAAAUCAUGAAUUCUUUCUUUCAAUAUUUUCAUAGUUGCAUUGUUCUGCACUUAAUUCCUUGAUGUACACAUUGAAUAUCCAUUUUAAUUACGAGAAAGUUACUGACACUUGAAUAAACCUCACCUUACUGCUUUGAAAUUCCUGUGUUACCCAACAGAAACCUGUGUGCACACUCAGCUCUGAAAUGAUCCUAAAGAUUAAAAAAGCCUAAAAGUG
Molecule: non-coding RNA, 487 nt
Organism: Odocoileus virginianus texanus
Lineage: Eukaryota; Metazoa; Chordata; Mammalia; Artiodactyla; Cervidae
Source: RefSeq, a predicted model, not a curated record